Molecule: long non-coding RNA, 338 nt
Filed under: Solanum tuberosum (potato)
Lineage: Eukaryota; Viridiplantae; Streptophyta; Magnoliopsida; Solanales; Solanaceae
Description: long non-coding RNA (STUB_LNC010019)
Source: RNAcentral
GGACAAGGAGAACCGAGUUUCGAAUAGAUAGAGCAACAUAUGAGCAAAAGCUAACUGAUUCAGCGACAUAUUCACGAUAGAAAACCAAACUUAAAAUCAUCUUGGAACCCAUGAAAUCAUUUAAACGGGGGCAGAAAAUGCAACACAUGAACUCGAACAGCCACAAACACAACACAUGAACUCCAAAUAUUUGGCAAUCUUAGUUCAUUCUUUCAACUUUAGAUGAGAGAAUGAAAAUACGAUGCCGAAUGUGAAGCAAUAAUGCAGAUUCCUAAGAAUAAGCUAAGACUGAUGAGAAUGUAUUGAAACCAAACACAACAAUAUUAUAAGAAUCAGAA